This 517-nucleotide long non-coding RNA is filed under the name Physcomitrium patens. RNAcentral's name for it is "long non-coding RNA (PPAT_LNC011415)". The record is from RNAcentral. Lineage: Eukaryota; Viridiplantae; Streptophyta; Bryopsida; Funariales; Funariaceae.
UCAUUAAUUAUUGAGGUUCCAUUUUGCUAAGAAUAAAAUAUAGGAUUUGUUAAGAAUGGUUUAUUAAAAGUCUAUUUAAGAUCUAGAAUUUGAUUAGGAUUUGAUUUAGGAUUUAGUCUAGGAUUUGAUUAGGAUUAGAAUAUAUUUAGGAUUUGAUUUAAAACUUUUCUAGAAUUUAUCUAAGGUUUAAGAUUUUAUUAAGAUUUCAUUAGGAUUUGACCUUGAUUUUAGUUAAGGUUUAAUUAAUAUUUCAAUUAGGAUUUGAUCUAAGAUUUGGUUAAGAUAUAAUUAAAAUUUCAAUUAAUUUUUUAUUAAUAUUUUUAUUUUUAGUAUUUUUAAAGAAUUUUUGAUAUUUUUUGUGAUUUUUUAAAAAUUUAUUUUCAUAGAUUAAAAUUUGAUUGGAUUAUUAGGAAUUAUUUGAAGUUUAUUUGAGGCUCUAUUAGACUUAAUAGAAUUAUAAUUAUAUUGUUACUUACCUUCAAUAGCUAGGUGGGUGAUGCAUUCUUAAGUAAGAAUA